ACCAAAUUCCCCUUCUUCUUCGAGCUCGAUCUCAGUAACAACAAAAUCAAAGGCCAGUUUCCCAUCGACGCGAUUACGUCAAAAGUGCUAGUCUUCCUUGACCUCCGCUUCAAUCAACUCACCGGCCCAAUUCCCCCCCAACUCUUCCUGAAGGAUCUCGACGUCAUCUUCAUCAACAACAACCAAUUCACACAGUGUCUCCCCCAGAAUUUCGGCUACACACCGGCCCGCUACCUCACUUUCGCCAACAACAACCUCACCGGCCCCAUUCCAAAGAGCGUCGGUUACGCACCCAACCUUACCGAAGUUCUCUUCCUCGGGAACAAGUUUGACGGCUGCUUGCCCGUUGAAAUUGGAAACCUAAAAAGAGCUGUCGUGUUUGAUGUGAGUAAAAAUUUACUCACCGGCCCAAUUCCCCACUCCUUCGGGUGCUUGAAGAGCAUUC
RNAcentral lists this long non-coding RNA (445 nucleotides) under Phaseolus vulgaris (common bean). RNAcentral's name for it is "long non-coding RNA (PVUL_LNC004420)". Lineage: Eukaryota; Viridiplantae; Streptophyta; Magnoliopsida; Fabales; Fabaceae. The record is from RNAcentral.